Molecule: ribosomal RNA, 382 nt
Filed under: uncultured bacterium
Lineage: Bacteria
Description: bacterial SSU rRNA
Rfam family: Bacterial small subunit ribosomal RNA
Source: RNAcentral
ACGAACGCUGGCGGCGUGCUUAACACAUGCAAGUCGAGCGGUAAGGCCCUUUCGGGGGUACACGAGCGGCGAACGGGUGAGUAACACGUGGGUGACCUGCCCUCAGCUCUGGGAUAAGCCUGGGAAACCGGGUCUAAUACCGGAUAUGACUCCAUGACGCAUGUUGUGGGGUGGAAAGCCUUGUGCGGCUGAGGAUGGGCCCGCGGCCUAUCAGCUUGUUGGUGGGGUGAUGGCCUACCAAGGCGACGACGGGUAGCCGGCCUGAGAGGGCGACCGGCCACACUGGGACUGAGACACGGCCCAGACUCCUACGGGAGGCAGCAGUGGGGAAUCUUGCGCAAUGGGCGAAAGCCUGACGCAGCGACGCCGCGUGAGGGAUGAC